This 274-nucleotide ribosomal RNA is filed under the name uncultured bacterium. Its description in RNAcentral is "partial 16S ribosomal RNA". It matches the Rfam family "Bacterial small subunit ribosomal RNA", at positions 523 to 796 of the family's 1533-position model. The record is from RNAcentral.
CCACGGAGGGCGCGAGCGUUGUUGGGAAUCACUGGGCGUAAAGCGCGCGUAGGCGGUUUCGUAAGUCAUUUGUGAAAGCCCGAGGCUCAACUUCGGGAUGCCAGGUGAGACUGCGAGACUAGAGCAUGGUAGAGGCAAGUGGAAUUCCCGGUGUAGCGGUGGAAUGCGUAGAUAUCGGGAAGAACACCGGUGGCGAAGGCGACUUGCUGGGCCAUUGCUGACGCUGAGGUGCGAAAGCGUGGGGAGCAAACAGGAUUAGAAACCCCAGUAGUCC